UAGCAUAUCAUAAGCGGAGGAAAAGAAACCAACAGGGAUUGCCUUAGUAACGGCGAGUGAAGCGGCAACAGCUCAAAUUUGAAAUCUAGCUUUAUGCUUGAGUUGUAAUUUGAAGAGGAUGUCUUUUGCUUGGCUUGAAGUCUAAGUCUCCUGGAAUGGAGCAUCAUGGAGGGUGAUAAUCCCGUUUGUGGUUUCAAGUUGUUAAGCAUUAUAAGACUCCUUCAAUGAGUCGAGUUGUUUGGGAAUGCAGCUCUAAAUGGGAGGUAAAUUUCUUCUAAAGCUAAAUAUCAGCUAGAGACCGAUAGCGAACAAGUAGAGUGAUCGAAAGAUGAAAAGUACUUUGGAAAGAGAGUUAAACAGUAUGUGAAAUUGUUGGAAGGGAAGCAUUUGCAAUCAGAUUUGUGCUGAUUAAAUUCACCUACACAUUUUUGUGCUUAGAGCAUUUUUUUUCAGCACUUGUCAACAUCAAUUUGAGUAGUGAUAAAAACCUAAUCAAAAUGUAGCUCUUUACCGAGUGUUAAAGGUGAUUAUGGCUUGUCACUUACUUAGAUUGAGGCACGCGCAUAUUAUGCAUGGAUGUUGACAUAAUGGUUGUAAGUGGCCCGUCUUGAAACACGGACCAAGGAGUCUAACGUUUACGCGAGUGUUUGGGUGUUAAGCUCAAGCGCAUAAUGAAAGUAAAUGUAGGUGGGAGAUUUUUAAAAAAGAAAAUUGCACCAUCGACCGAUCUUGAAGUUUUCUGAUGGAUUUGAGUAUGAGCGUAAUUGUUGGGACCCGAAAGAUGGUGAACUAUGCCUGCUUAGGCUGAAGUCAGGGGAAACCCUGAUGGAGGGUCGCAGCGGUUCUGACGUGCAAAUCGAUCGUCAAAAGUGGGUAUAGGGGCGAAAGACCAAUCGAACCAUCUAGUAGCUGGUUCACACCGA
Molecule: ribosomal RNA, 923 nt
Filed under: Gloeandromyces dickii
Lineage: Eukaryota; Fungi; Ascomycota; Laboulbeniomycetes; Laboulbeniales; Laboulbeniaceae
Description: LSU rRNA
Rfam family: Eukaryotic large subunit ribosomal RNA
Source: RNAcentral